Molecule: ribosomal RNA, 934 nt
Filed under: Lulesia orientalis
Lineage: Eukaryota; Fungi; Basidiomycota; Agaricomycetes; Agaricales; Entolomataceae
Description: Clitocella orientalis partial large subunit ribosomal RNA
Rfam family: Eukaryotic large subunit ribosomal RNA
Source: RNAcentral
AUAUCAAUAAGCGGAGGAAAAGAAACUAACAAGGAUUCCCCUAGUAACUGCGAGUGAAGCGGGAAAAGCUCAAAUUUAAAAUCUGGUAGUCAUUGGCUGCCCGAGUUGUAAUCUAGAGAAGCGUUAUCCGCGCUGGACCGUGUACAAGUCUCCUGGAAUGGAGCGUCAUAGAGGGUGAGAAUCCCGUCUUUGACACGGACUGCCAGGGCUUUGUGAUGCGCUCUCGAAGAGUCGAGUUGUUUGGGAAUGCAGCUCUAAAUGGGUGGUAAAUUCCAUCUAAAGCUAAAUAUUGGCGAGAGACCGAUAGCGAACAAGUACCGUGAGGGAAAGAUGAAAAGAACUUUGGAAAGAGAGUUAAACAGUACGUGAAAUUGUUGAAAGGGAAACGCUUGAAGUCAGUCGCGUUUGCCUGGAAUCAGCCUUGCUUUUGCUUGGUGUAUUUCCUGGUUUAACGGGUCAGCAUCAAUUUUGACCGGUGGAAAAAGGUCAGGGGAAUGUGGCAUCUUCGGAUGUGUUAUAGCCCUUGGUUGUAUACAUCGGUUGGGAUUGAGGAACUCAGCACGCCGUAAGGUCGGGUUUUUAACCACGUUCGUGCUUAGGAUGCUGGCAUAAUGGCUUUAAUCGACCCGUCUUGAAACACGGACCAAGGAGUCUAACAUGCCUGCGAGUGUUUGGGUGGAAAACCCGAGCGCGUAAUGAAAGUGAAAGUUGAGAUCCCUGUCGUGGGGAGCAUCGACGCCCGGACCAGACCUUUUGUGACGGCUCCGCGGUAGAGCAUGUAUGUUGGGACCCGAAAGAUGGUGAACUAUGCCUGAAUAGGGUGAAGCCAGAGGAAACUCUGGUGGAGGCUCGUAGCGAUUCUGACGUGCAAAUCGAUCGUCAAAUUUGGGUAUAGGGGCGAAAGACUAAUCGAACCAUCUAGUAGCUGGUUCCU